GACGAACGCUGGCGGCGUGCUUAACACAUGCAAGUCGAACGGAAAGGCCCUGCUUUUGUGGGGUGCUCGAGUGGCGAACGGGUGAGUAACACGUGAGUAACCUGCCCUUGACUUUGGGAUAACUUCAGGAAACUGGGGCUAAUACCGGCUAGGAGCUCCUGCUGCAUGGUGGGGGUUGGAAAGUUUCGGCGGUUGGAGAUGGACUCGCGGCUUAUCAGCUUGUUGGUGGGGUAGUGGCUUACCAAGGCUUUGACGGGUAGUCGGCCUGAGAGGGUGACCGGCCACAUUGGGACUGAGAUAGGGCCCAGACUCCUACGGGAGGCAGUAGUGGGGAAUAUUGCACAGUGGGCGGAAGCCUGAUGCAGCAGCGCCGCGUGCGGGAUGACGGCCUUCGGGUUGUAAACCGCUUUCGCCUGUGACGAAGCGUGAGUGACGGUAAUGGGUAAAGAAGCACCGGCUAACUACGUG
RNAcentral lists this ribosomal RNA (468 nucleotides) under uncultured bacterium. RNAcentral's name for it is "partial 16S ribosomal RNA". It matches the Rfam family "Bacterial small subunit ribosomal RNA", at positions 28 to 507 of the family's 1533-position model. The record is from RNAcentral.